AUAAGUAUUUACUAGGUAGUAUAUAACUUAAAAACUAAUAUAAUAUGGCGGUCACUACCCCUUUGAGGAACUCGCUAUAUAAUCGUCAAUACCCGAUAAUUUUAACCUUAUUUUAAUAAUCUAUAUACCGCCGUUUCAAAUCUCUCACUAUAUUAUUUCAACAUUCACAUCAAUAAAAAAUCAGGUCAAGGUGUAAUAUAUAAUAAGGAUUUAGUAAGUUACACUAAAAUAAAUUUUAGGAUCUACCAUCAAACUUCAUAAUAAAAAAGAAUCCAUUCUCACAAAUAAAUUAAAAUUUUAUUUAGAAUACAAGGUAUAUGACGC
RNAcentral lists this ribosomal RNA (324 nucleotides) under Smeringopina kinguele. RNAcentral's name for it is "partial 12S ribosomal RNA". The record is from RNAcentral. Lineage: Eukaryota; Metazoa; Arthropoda; Arachnida; Araneae; Pholcidae.